Non-coding RNA from Carica papaya (papaya), 1577 nucleotides. The record is from RefSeq and is a predicted model, not a curated record. NCBI's taxonomy places the organism in Eukaryota, Viridiplantae, Streptophyta, Magnoliopsida, Brassicales, Caricaceae.
UCGCUUUCCCGCGUCAAAAAAAAAAAAAAUUCUUUCCUCUCCAACAACUCCACUCUCUACCCCUUCCUAUUCCUUGCUUGUAUCCUUUCAAUUUCCUCAUGUCAAUUUUCCCUCACCAUCACCAUGUCUCUUCUUUCUCUCCUCCUCCUCCUCCUCAUCUUCUCCUCUCUCUCCAUCUCCCUCUCUGCUCAAUCCCCUCCCAGAGGUACUCUCAUUGAUUGCGGCGCCACACUUCCUUCCCUCAUCGACGGCCGUCAAUGGCUUCCAGACCAAAGCUUUAUUUCGGCGGGGACUUCCAAAAUCGUUACAACCACUGUCCUUUUCCCUACCUUAUCCACCGUCCGUUCGUUCCCUCUGCGGAACAAUCUCCGCCGUAAGUUCUGCUACGUCGUGCCGGUCUUCCGUGGGGCUAAAUACAUGGUCAGAACCACUUACUUCUACGGAGGGGUCAACGGCGAUGUUUCGCCCCCGGUGUUCGAUCAAAUCGUCGACGGAACCCUCUGGAGCCUGGUCAACACUACAGAAGAUUAUGCCAACGGUAUGUCCUCGUACUACGAAGGGAUUUUUGUCCCCAAAGGAAAGACGAUGAGCGUGUGCAUCGCGGCUAAUACUUACACAGUCUCUGACCCCUUCAUUUCGUCUCUGGAAUUCGUGAUUCUUGGCGGUUCGCUUUACAAUUCUACGGAUUUCGAAAAAUUUGGAUUGCAUUUGGUUGCCAGGCACGGUUUUGGAUAUAAUGGACCCAUUAUCCGAUACCUGAUGAUGAGUUUGAUCGUUUUUGGGGACCAUAUGGAGAAAGUAAUCCUUCUACAGCGAGCAAUAGAAGUUUAUCCAUUUCUGGUUUCUGGAAUCUUCCGGCUUCUAGUAUAUUCGAUACAGCGAUAAAAGCUAUCCAGCCAGAAUCCUUAGAGUUGAAAUGGCCGCCAGUCUCCCUUCCAAACUCAAUAUACUAUAUUGCUUUGUACUUUGCAGAUGAUCGUGAUACAUUGGAAGGAGGCUCAAGGGUGCUUGAUAUAAGCAUCAAUGGUGUAACAUAUUACAGAAAUUUGAAUUUGACUACAGCAGGUGCUGUUGUCUUCGCAAGCCAGUGGCCUCUGGUUGGUCCUACAACAAUAACUUUGACUCCUGCUGCCAGAUCAAAUAUUGGUCCCCUGAUCAAUGGUGGAGAGAUUUUCCAAUUACUGCUUCUUGGUGGAAGAACUCUUACACGGGAUGGAAUUUAACAAGUAUGAGCCUUUCAGGUUUGCUGUCACCUAGUAUUGUGAACAUGACUGCAUUGAUGGGCAUUUGGCUGGGGAAUAACAACUUGUCAGGAUCCUUACCUGUUCUCGGUUCACUUAAGAUGCUGGAGGCUCUGUGAGUCGAAAAACUUCCUUUAUUAUUAUCAUUAUUUUCUGUAUCAUCUCUCUUUGAGAUAUGAAUUAUCUAAUUUUUUUUUCAUAUGAAGCUAGUACAUUAGUAUCUAAUUUAAUUUGAUAAUUACAUACUUCUUGGGGAUUUGUAUGCAAAUGGGCUGGAACUUUUGAGGGAAGGGCUGGGGGUUAGCUGGGAGAUACUAUUGCAAGAUAUUUGGUUUU